CCUACGGGAGGCAGCAGUAAGGAAUAUUGGACAAUGCCCGCAAGGGUGAUCCAGCCAUGCCGCGUGCAGGAAGAAGGCGCUAUGCGUCGUAAACUGCUUUUACACCGGAGAAAACCUCCCCUCGUGAGGGGAGCUGAUAGUAUGGUGAGAAUAAGCAUCGGCUAACUUCGUGCCAGCAGCCGCGGUAAGACGAAGGAUGCAAGCGUUAUCCGGAUUCAUUGGGUUUAAAGGGAACGUAGGCGGCCCUGUAAGUCAGUGGUGAAAUCUCUCGGCUUAACCGAGAAAUUGCCAUUGAUACUGCAGGGCUUGAGUACAGUUGCUGUGGGCGGAAUAUGACAUGUAGUGGUGAAAUACAUAGAGAUGUCAUAGAACCACCGAUUGCGAAGGCAGCUCACAAACUGUAACUGACGCUGAGGCUACGAAAGUGCGGGAGUACAACAAGAUAGAUACCUACGUACGUACGCACUAGUAACGUAUAGUAUUACUACGUCUGCGUGGGUAGGUUAACGUUUACUAGU
This 518-nucleotide ribosomal RNA is filed under the name uncultured bacterium. Its description in RNAcentral is "bacterial SSU rRNA". It matches the Rfam family "Bacterial small subunit ribosomal RNA", at positions 338 to 868 of the family's 1533-position model. The record is from RNAcentral.